UAACACAUGCAAGUCGAACGCGAAAGCCCGCUUCGGGCGGGCCGGUAGAGUGGCGAACGGGUGAGUAACACGUAGACAACCUGCCUUCCAGUUCGGGAUAACCUUUCGAAAGAGGGGCUAAUACCGGAUAACACUCCCAGGUCGCAUGGCCCGGGGUUGAAAGGCUUGCUGCUGGAAGAGGGGUCUGCGGGACAUUAGCUUGUUGGCGGGGUAACGGCCCACCAAGGCUGUGAUGUCUAGCGGGUCUGAGAGGAUGAUCCGCCACACUGGAACUGAGAUACGGUCCAGACUCCUACGGGAGGCAGCAGUGGGGAAUUUUGCGCAAUGGGCGAAAGCCUGACGCAGCAACGCCGCGUGAGUGAAGAAGGCCUUUGGGUCGUAAAGCUCUUUUCCGGGGGAAGAGACCAGACGGUACCCCGGGAAUAAGCACCGGCUAACUCCGUGCCAGCAGCCGCGGUAAUACGGAGGGUGCGAGCGUUGUUCGGAUUUACUGGGCGUAAAGGGCGUGUAGGCGGGUGCGCAAGCCGGAGGUGAAA
Molecule: ribosomal RNA, 536 nt
Filed under: uncultured delta proteobacterium
Lineage: Bacteria; Deltaproteobacteria
Also listed under: 1 other name
Description: bacterial SSU rRNA
Rfam family: Bacterial small subunit ribosomal RNA
Source: RNAcentral